RNAcentral lists this ribosomal RNA (945 nucleotides) under uncultured crenarchaeote. RNAcentral describes it as "bacterial SSU rRNA". It matches the Rfam family "Archaeal small subunit ribosomal RNA", at positions 1 to 923 of the family's 1478-position model. Lineage: Archaea; Thermoproteati; Thermoproteota. The record is from RNAcentral.
UUCCGGUUGAUCCUGCCGGACCUUACUGCUAUCGGGAUAAGACUAAGCCAUGCGAGUUGUGCGCUCUUGAGCUAUGUUGAGAGAGCAGCAAACGGCUCAGUAACACGUAGUUAACCUACCCUCAGGACAGGGAUACCCCCGGGAAACUGGGGAUAAUGUCUGAUAGGCGGAAGCGCCUGGAAUGGUCUUCCACUGAAAGGGUGUUAAAAACAUGCUUUUAACACUGCCUGAGGAUGGGACUGCGACCGAUCAGGUUGUUGGUGGGGUAACGGCCUACCAAGCCUAUAACCGGUACGGGCCCUGAGAGGGGGAGCCCGGAGAUGGGAACUGAGAAACGGUCCCAGGUCCUACGGGACGCAGCAGGCGCGAAACCUCCACAAUGCACGAAAGUGCGAUGGGGUUAUCCCGAGUGCUUUCCGAUGAGGAUGGCUUUUCCUCGGUGUAAAAAGGCGAGGGAAUAAAGGGGGGGCAAGACUGGUGUCAGCCGCCGCGGUAAUACCAGCUCCCUGAGUGGUAGGGAUGAUUAUUUGGCCUAAAACGUUCGUAGCCGGCUUGGCAAGUCUUCCGUUAAAUCCAGCGACUCAAUCGUUGGUCUGCGGAAGAUACUACUAGGCUAGAGGACGGGAGAGGUUGACGGUAUUCCCAGUGUAGGGGUGAAAUCCAAUAAUCCUGGGAGGACCACCAGUGGCGAAGGCGGUCAACGAGAACGUGCCUGACGGUGAUGGACGAAAGCUGGGGGAGCGAACCGGAUUAGACACCCGGGUAGUCCCAGCCGUAAACGAUGCGGGCUAGGUGUUAGGGCAGCUACGAGCUGCUCUAGUGCCGCAGAGAAGUCGUUAAGCCCGCUGCCUGGGGAGUACGAUCGCAAGAUUGAAACUUAAAGGAAUUGGCGUGGGAGCACCACAAGGGGUGAAGCCUGCGGUUCAAUUGGAUUCAACGCCGGAA